UAAUAUAUUUUUCUCUCCCCUGUUGCUGUGUGAAGCCAUACAAACAGUGGGCAAAGCUGACAGAGAAGCUGGGGUGGCAGAAUUGAAGUUGGUGGUACUGCUGCCAGGUGCACGGCACACGGUUGGAAGAGCUGUAUCUCUGUCUUGAAGAGAAAAAACAAGCUUUGGAAAUGAUGCUUUAUGCCUGCGCAGGUGAGUUUGCUCUUUUGCAAGGUUUAUUUUUCAGAUCACAGGAAAGGGAUUUGAGUGCUA
Molecule: long non-coding RNA, 252 nt
Filed under: Phasianus colchicus (ring-necked pheasant)
Lineage: Eukaryota; Metazoa; Chordata; Aves; Galliformes; Phasianidae
Description: lncRNA (ENSPCLG00000004079.1)
Source: RNAcentral